Molecule: long non-coding RNA, 269 nt
Filed under: Lathyrus oleraceus (garden pea)
Lineage: Eukaryota; Viridiplantae; Streptophyta; Magnoliopsida; Fabales; Fabaceae
Description: Pisum sativum (pea) long non-coding RNA (PSAT_LNC013252)
Source: RNAcentral
CAAAAGAGACAUUCACUGUACAUUAUUCACACAUCUCAACUUCGUUCCAUUUGUUUCUCAUUUGAAACCUUCACAACUCUUAUUUCACAACUCAAUUUUUGUUUUUCACUAUUUUUCUUCCAAGCAAGCAUUCAUUUUUAUUUUCUCUAUAUUAUAUUAUUUUUUCUUUUCUUUCACAUCAUAUUUACAAAACAGAUGUUUUUCUUUUCUAAUUUUUAUUUUCAAUGCUUGCUCGGUUUUUCAAGAGUUGUGGCACUUACUGAUUCUCA